Molecule: non-coding RNA, 21 nt
Filed under: Caenorhabditis elegans
Lineage: Eukaryota; Metazoa; Nematoda; Chromadorea; Rhabditida; Rhabditidae
Source: RNAcentral
UUAGAAAUUGAAGAAUUGGUA